GACGAACGCUGGCGGCGUGCUUAACACAUGCAAGUCGAACGGAAAGGCCCUGCUUUUGUGGGGUGCUCGAGUGGAGAACGGGUGAGUAACACGUGAGUAACCUGCCCCUGACUUUGGGAUAACUUCAGGAAACUGGGGCUAAUACCGGAUAGGAGCUCCUGCUGCAUGGUGGGGGUUGGAAAGUUUCGGCGGUUGGGGAUGGACUCGCGGCUUAUCAGCUUGAUGGUGGGGUAGUGGCUUACCAAGGCUUUGACGGGUAGCCGGCCUGAGAGGGUGACCGGCCACAUUGGGCCUGAGAUGCGGCCCAGACUCCUCCGGGAGGCAGCAGUGGGGAAUAUUGCACUAUGGGCGGAAGCCUGAUGCAGCAACGCCGCGUGCGGGAUGACGUCCUUCGGUUUGUAAUCCGCUUUCGCCUGUGACGAAGCGUGAGUGACGGUAAUGGGUAAAGAAGCACCGGCUAACUACGUG
This 468-nucleotide ribosomal RNA is filed under the name uncultured bacterium. RNAcentral describes it as "partial 16S ribosomal RNA". It matches the Rfam family "Bacterial small subunit ribosomal RNA", at positions 28 to 507 of the family's 1533-position model. The record is from RNAcentral.